This 2338-nucleotide long non-coding RNA is filed under the name Gadus morhua (Atlantic cod). RNAcentral's name for it is "lncRNA (ENSGMOG00000022215.1)". Lineage: Eukaryota; Metazoa; Chordata; Actinopteri; Gadiformes; Gadidae. The record is from RNAcentral.
AUGUUCCAGGAAACUGCCGUUCUUGACAAGGCAAAUCAUGUGCCGAGCCAAAAACCCUAUUUUGUUAUUGAUCAGCCUGAGGAAGGAAGCAAACUUGUGACAGAACCCAGACCGCAUUGGCCCUGCGACCUCAUCCCUCGUAACAAGCAACCAAAUCAUUGGCGUUAAUCGAACAUGUUUGAUGUUUUAUUCGUUUUUUAUAAAGUUGCUAGUUUUUGUGCUCAUUUGGGUUUCCCACUUUCUAAAAACAGAAAAAAAAGACAAAUUCCGGGGGAGGGGGUGUUGACGGUGGUCAACAGGAGCCAUUCUACCUGAACAACGACCCAUCCCCAUGGACACAUUUGGUUAAACAUUUGUUCAGAUCGCCUUCACACAGCAUAACCAGAGCAGGUGGGCUUUCUCUAUUCAGAAGAUCAGGGCCGGGUAUUGAUCGGGGAGGGGCUUGGAACGUGCCUGUGUAAACACAACCAAAAGAUUAAUUUGAUUAUAAUCUGAUUGUUGAUCGCACAUUGGAGAAAUUUGCUGGACAUUUUGAAGACACAUUUUUUGUUGUCGUCAAAAGUUUGUCACCUUGCAGUGACAGUGCAGCACUUUGGUUGUCUGAGAAAAUUGUGGUUUCAGACAUAACGCGCAAUUCUUAAAGAAAUUAACUCGCGAUUGCCUUAUGGCUUUACAGGUAUGUUUCAUUUAAAAGAAUCAACCACAUACCCCUUCACCCCUGAGCAUGACGAUGUCACAGUCAAUUAAAUUGCCACAAAAAACAAGAUUCAACUAUUUCAUCCGUGUUACAUCCUCUGACCAUUGAUGAUUCUUAGACCUCAUUUUGGCCUCAUUACUGCUCACAUUUUAUGACAAUGUCCCUUCCUGACCAGACAUUUUUUAAAUAACUUUUAAAGUACGAUUUUAAAAAGCAAAAAUGUGUUUGUAAUUUCUUUGUAGAUUGAAAAAAAAUCAAAUUGUUGAGAAUUGAUCAGAAGUCAUUUGUUCCAUGCUUUUCUUACUUAUGGAACAGUGUAAAGGUUGACUCGGUAAUUACUCAGCUGGAAGUAUUUUGUAAUUAAAAUGAAUAAAAAGUAAAAAAAGAUGCCAUUUUGCCUGUAAUUGUGUUUCUAAGAAGCAGAAUUCCACAUUUGACCACACACCUCAUGAGUUGACUUUAGUGCUUUUAAAACGGCAUAAAACUGAACGCUUUACUUUAUUCCCACAUUUCCCCUCAUUACUCAUGCUCUUUAGAAAAUUAAACUGCAUACUUGUGGCUUGCAAAAAACAGCUGCGCUUGUAUGUUCCAAGAAACCUGUUAAUUAUAUUAUUCCUCAAAGCACUUCAGUCAACAGUUUAAAGAUUGUCAAAUAAUUAAAUGUGCGCAAGAAAAUGAUUUUCUUUUGUAAAAAUGAAUGAGAAAGUGUUGACAGGACAUUGCCGAGUCAGCCUUUACCGAGUCUCCCCCGUCAAAUAACAGCGUUUCAGUCCGGCUCCAUCCCUCCCUGCCCCUUUUAUUUGUUAAAUCAGAUCGAUCUGCUGCCAUUUCAAUCGGAUCAGUAAAAAAAAAAGUUCAGAAUAAAAUAUAUUUUGAUAUUAAGUGUUUGUCGUUGCCCUUUUCUGAUGUGUGACGCUUAUUCAAUGCCUGGAAACGCAAACUUGUAUUUCUUAAAACUGCUCUAAGCCUAGAUUUUAGAAAGGUGUUGCCAACGUUAGUGAAGGUGUCUACAUCUACAUAAUGCGUGUAUACUCUUACUUUUUUGGUCAAUCUUCCUUUUACACUCAAAUUACCCAUUCAUUGAAAAACUUAAUUUGAUUAUUUGACUGAAUGGGGUUUAAAGGGGUGAUAUUAUGCCACCAGUGGAGUGUGAUUUGCCAUAUCAGAACCUGUAUUGAAAUCUGCCUUUUCCUGUGUCUUAGUGACAUCACAAGUGAAAAGGCAGAUUUUCAAACAGCUUUUAAUGGCUAAUCACUCACCCCUGGUAGCAUACUCACACCCAUAAGAGAUUGUUAGCAAAACAUGCCGGUAGGGGUCACACAAUAAUUUUAUUUUGUUGAAAUAUCCAAAUGACCAAGUUGAAUGGAAGAAUAAUUAUAAUUUCUAUGAAGAUCAUUUGACACUUAAUUAUGGAACUUGGCCUCACAGACUGUUAAAUCCAUAAAAUAUAAAACUGAAAAAAAAAGUAAAACAUUGAUAACUUCCAAAACGAUUUUAAUGUGGUAGAUAAAUUAAGGCAUACUAACGUUUUUGCACAUACAAGUAAAUACAGUAAAAAAAAAAGUGGAAAAGACCCAACAGGACGCUACUAAAUACAUUAAAAACAGGAAAUACAAAUAUGAUAAAUAGAUGUAGCACCAU